UACGGAGGGUGCAAGCGUUAAUCGGAAUUACUGGGCGUAAAGCGCACGCAGGCGGUUGGAUAAGUUAGAUGUGAAAGCCCCGGGCUCAACCUGGGAAUUGCAUUUAAAACUGUCCAGCUAGAGUCAUGUAGAGGGGGGUAGAAUUCCAGGUGUAGCGGUGAAAUGCGUAGAUAUAGGAAGGAACACCAGUGGCGAAGGCGACCACCUGGACUGAUACUGACACUGAGGUGCGAAAGCGUGGGGAGCAAA
Molecule: ribosomal RNA, 249 nt
Filed under: uncultured prokaryote
Description: partial 16S ribosomal RNA
Rfam family: Bacterial small subunit ribosomal RNA
Source: RNAcentral